AAUCAACGCUGGCGGCGUGCCUCAGACAUGCAAGUUGAACGAUUAAAGCUCUCUUCGGAGAGUGCAUAAAGUGGCGCACGGGUGAGUAACACGUAAGUAAUCUACCCUCGAGUGGGGAAUAACGUCCGGAAACGGACGCUAAUACCGCAUAACGCAGCGGCACCGCAAGGUGACAGUUGUUAAAGGAGAAAUCCGCUUGAGGAGGAGCUUGCGGCAGAUUAGCUUGNGGUAAGGUAACGGCUUACCAAGGCUACGAUCUGUAACCGGUCUAAGAGGACGGUCGGUCACACUGACACUGAAUAACGGGUCAGACUCCUACGGGAGGGCAGCAGUCGGGAAUUUUGGGCAAUGGGGGAAACCCGUGACCCAGCAACGCCGCGUGAAGGAUGAAGUAUUUCGGUAUGUAAACUUCGAAGAAUAGGAAGAAUAAAUGACGGUACUAUUUAUAAGGUCCGGCUAACUACGUGCCAGCAGCCGCAGU
RNAcentral lists this ribosomal RNA (481 nucleotides) under uncultured bacterium. RNAcentral describes it as "bacterial SSU rRNA". It matches the Rfam family "Bacterial small subunit ribosomal RNA", at positions 32 to 521 of the family's 1533-position model. The record is from RNAcentral.